RNAcentral lists this unclassified non-coding RNA (378 nucleotides) under uncultured bacterium. RNAcentral's name for it is "contains 16S-23S intergenic spacer region". The record is from RNAcentral.
UCCGAGUUGACCCCGGCAGUCUCCUACGAGUCCCCACCAUUACGUGCUGGCAACAUAGGACGAGGGUUGCGCUCGUUGCGGGACUUAACCCAACAUCUCACGACACGAGCUGACGACAGCCAUGCACCACCUGUGAUCCGGCCCCGAAGGGAAACCCUGUUUCCAGGGCGGUCCGGAACAUGUCAAGCCCAGGUAAGGUUCUUCGCGUUGCGUCGAAUUAAACCACAUGCUCCGCUGCUUGUGCGGGUCCCCGUCAAUUCCUUUGAGUUUUAAUCUUGCGACCGUACUUCCCAGGCGGCACGUUUAACGCGUUAGCUUCGCCACAAAAGGGGUCGAUUCCUUUUACAGCAAACGUGCACAGUUUACGGCUAGGACUAC